RNAcentral lists this ribosomal RNA (537 nucleotides) under Colletotrichum siamense. RNAcentral describes it as "eukaryotic LSU rRNA". The stretch from base 178 to 331 matches the Rfam family "5.8S ribosomal RNA". Lineage: Eukaryota; Fungi; Ascomycota; Sordariomycetes; Glomerellales; Glomerellaceae. The record is from RNAcentral.
CAUUACUGAGUUUACGCUCUACAACCCUUUGUGAACAUACCUAUAACUGUUGCUUCGGCGGGUAGGGUCUCCGCGACCCUCCCGGCCUCCCGCCUCCGGGCGGGUCGGCGCCCGCCGGAGGAUAACCAAACUCUGAUUUAACGACGUUUCUUCUGAGUGGUACAAGCAAAUAAUCAAAACUUUUAACAACGGAUCUCUUGGUUCUGGCAUCGAUGAAGAACGCAGCGAAAUGCGAUAAGUAAUGUGAAUUGCAGAAUUCAGUGAAUCAUCGAAUCUUUGAACGCACAUUGCGCCCGCCAGCAUUCUGGCGGGCAUGCCUGUUCGAGCGUCAUUUCAACCCUCAAGCUCUGCUUGGUGUUGGGGCCCUACAGCUGAUGUAGGCCCUCAAAGGUAGUGGCGGACCCUCUCGGAGCCUCCUUUGCGUAGUAACUUUACGUCUCGCACUGGGAUCCGGAGGGACUCUUGCCGUAAAACCCCCAAUUUUCCAAAGGUUGACCUCGGAUCAGGUAGGAAUACCCGCUGAACUUAAGCAUAUCA